Molecule: microRNA, 26 nt
Filed under: Pan troglodytes (chimpanzee)
Lineage: Eukaryota; Metazoa; Chordata; Mammalia; Primates; Hominidae
Also listed under: 1 other name
Description: ptr-miR-1272
Source: miRBase by way of RNAcentral
GAUGAUGAUGGCAGCAAAUUCUGAAA